CCCUAGUAACUGCGAGUGAAGCGGGAAAAGCUCAAAUUUAAAAUCUGGCGGUCUUUGGCUGUCCGAGNUGUAAUCUAGAGAAGUGCUAUCCGCGCUGGACCGUGUACAAGUCUCCUGGAAUGGAGCGUCAUAGAGGGUGAGAAUCCCGUCUUUGACACGGACUGCCAGGGCUUUGUGAUGUGCUCUCAAAGAGUCGAGUUGUUUGGGAAUGCAGCUCAAAAUGGGUGGUAAAUUCCAUCUAAAGCUAAAUAUUGGCGAGAGACCGAUAGCGAACAAGUACCGUGAGGGAAAGAUGAAAAGAACUUUGGAAAGAGAGUUAAACAGUACGUGAAAUUGCUGAAAGGGAAACGCUUGAAGUCAGUCGCGUUGGCCGGGGAUCAACCUUGCUUUUGCUGGGUGUACUUUCCGGUUGACGGGUCAGCAUCAAUUUUGAUCGUUGGAUAAAGUUCAUGGGAAUGUGGCUUCUUCGGAAGUGUUAUAGCCCAUGUUCGCAUACAACGG
RNAcentral lists this ribosomal RNA (501 nucleotides) under Psilocybe sp. 2 VRZ-2013. RNAcentral's name for it is "eukaryotic LSU rRNA". It matches the Rfam family "Eukaryotic large subunit ribosomal RNA", at positions 78 to 579 of the family's 3401-position model. Lineage: Eukaryota; Fungi; Basidiomycota; Agaricomycetes; Agaricales; Agrocybaceae. The record is from RNAcentral.